RNAcentral lists this transfer RNA (74 nucleotides) under Actinobacteria bacterium RBG_19FT_COMBO_70_19. Its description in RNAcentral is "tRNA-Ala". It matches the Rfam family "tRNA". From Rfam's summary of the family: Transfer RNA (tRNA) molecules are approximately 80 nucleotides in length. Their secondary structure includes four short double-helical elements and three loops (D, anti-codon, and T loops). The record is from RNAcentral. Lineage: Bacteria; Bacillati; Actinomycetota.
GCCCAUAGCUCAGCUGGUAGAGCGCUUGGCUGGCAGCCAAGAGGUCAGGGGUUCGAGUCCCCUUGGGUCCACCA